This 74-nucleotide transfer RNA is filed under the name Sparassis crispa. RNAcentral's name for it is "tRNA-Asn". It matches the Rfam family "tRNA". From Rfam's summary of the family: Transfer RNA (tRNA) molecules are approximately 80 nucleotides in length. Their secondary structure includes four short double-helical elements and three loops (D, anti-codon, and T loops). Further hydrogen bonds mediate the characteristic L-shaped molecular structure. tRNAs have two regions of fundamental functional importance: the anti-codon, which is responsible for specific mRNA codon recognition, and the 3' end, to which the tRNAs corresponding amino acid is attached (by aminoacyl-tRNA synthetases). tRNAs cope with the degeneracy of the genetic code in two manners: having more than one tRNA (with a specific anti-codon) for a particular amino acid; and 'wobble' base-pairing, i.e. permitting non-standard base-pairing at the 3rd anti-codon position. Lineage: Eukaryota; Fungi; Basidiomycota; Agaricomycetes; Polyporales; Sparassidaceae. The record is from RNAcentral. RNAcentral also lists the same sequence under 5 other names.
UGCCCCAUGGCUGAGUUGGUCACAGCGUCCGACUGUUAAUCGGAAGGUCGUGAGUUCGAGCCUCACUGGGGCAG